UUUAUGAUACAAAGUAAGAACUAUGCUUUGAAAGAAUUGAAAGCAGACAACAAAAUGUUAUUUCAAGACUUGAAUUCUAUAGAAGAUCCAGAGAUUUGUGCAUAUGUUCAAGCCAAAAAAGCUCGUAUUUUACAGAAAAGAAAUGAACAACAGAAUCAACAAGCUUGGACUUCAUCAACCUCAUUUGGGAAAAU
This 194-nucleotide small RNA is filed under the name Arabidopsis thaliana (thale cress). RNAcentral describes it as "ATSL095190". Lineage: Eukaryota; Viridiplantae; Streptophyta; Magnoliopsida; Brassicales; Brassicaceae. The record is from RNAcentral.